GAUUAGAUACCCUGGUAGUCCACGCUGUAAACGAUGUCGAUUUGGAGGUUGUGCCCUUGAGGCGUGGCUUCCGGAGCUAACGCGUUAAAUCGACCGCCUGGGGAGUACGGCCGCAAGGUUAAAACUCAAAUGAAUUGACGGGGGCCCGCACAAGCGGUGGAGCAUGUGGUUUAAUUCGAUGCAACGCGAAGAACCUUACCUACUCUUGACAUCCAGAGAACUUUCCAGAGAUGGAUUGGUGCCUUCGGGAACUCUGAGACAGGUGCUGCAUGGCUGUCGUCAGCUCGUGUUGUGAAAUGUUGGGUUAAGUCCCGCAACGAGCGCAACCCUUAUCCUUUGUUGCCAGCGGUUCGGCCGGGAACUCAAAGGAGACUGCCAGUGAUAAACUGGAGGAAGGUGGGGAUGACGUCAAGUCAUCAUGGCCCUUACGAGUAGGGCUACACACGUGCUACAAUGGCAUAUACAAAGAGAAGCGACCUCGCGAGAGCAAGCGGACCUCAUAAAGUAUGUCGUAGUCCGGAUUGGAGUCUGCAACUCGACUCCAUGAAGUCGGAAUCGCUAGUAAUCGUAGAUCAGAAUGCUACGGUGAAUACGUUCCCGGGCCUUGUACACACCGCCCGUCACACCAUGGGAGUGGGUUGCAAAAGAAGUAGGUAGCUUAACCUUCGGGAGGGCGCUUACCACUUUGUGAUUCAUGACUGGGGUGAAGUCGUAACAAGG
Molecule: ribosomal RNA, 720 nt
Filed under: uncultured bacterium
Lineage: Bacteria
Description: bacterial SSU rRNA
Rfam family: Bacterial small subunit ribosomal RNA
Source: RNAcentral